AUCCUUUUGUAGUCCGUAAGGGGGUUGAUUGGGUGGUUAUGCCCAUGGAGAUGUGCCUCUCAAAUCUUGUCAUGAUGUGGGCAGUGGGCAUGUUACCCAUCUGACA
Molecule: small nucleolar RNA, 106 nt
Organism: Nycticebus coucang (slow loris)
Lineage: Eukaryota; Metazoa; Chordata; Mammalia; Primates; Lorisidae
Product: small nucleolar RNA U13
Exons: 1
Source: RefSeq, a predicted model, not a curated record